GAUGAAGAACGUAGUGAAAUGCGAUAAGUAAUGUGAAUUGCAGAAUUCAGUGAAUCAUCGAAUCUUUGAACGCACAUUGCGCCCCCUGGUAUUCCGGGGGGUAUGCCUGUUCGAGCGUCAUUUCACCACUCAAGCCUCGCUUGGUAUUGGGCAACGCGGUCCGCCGCGUGCCUCAAAUCGACCGGCUGGGUCUUCUGUCCCCUAAGCGUUGUGGAAACUAUUCGCUAAAGGGUGCUCGGGAGGCUACGCCGUAAAACAAACCCAUUUCUAAGGUUGACCUCGGAUCAGGUAGGGAUACCCGCUGAACUUAAGCAUAUCAAUAAGCGGAGGA
Molecule: unclassified non-coding RNA, 331 nt
Filed under: soil metagenome
Description: partial contains 5.8S ribosomal RNA, internal transcribed spacer 2, and large subunit ribosomal RNA
Rfam family: 5.8S ribosomal RNA (bases 1-120)
Source: RNAcentral